UGUGAGAGGGAAUUUGAAAGACAACAGUUUAUCCCGCCCUUUGAAUUGAGACCUGCCAAUGGUGAGUUCCCAGACCCGACAUCUUGAUGAUGUGGGUCUGGCUCUUCAGGCUAAAG
Molecule: long non-coding RNA, 116 nt
Organism: Etheostoma cragini (Arkansas darter)
Lineage: Eukaryota; Metazoa; Chordata; Actinopteri; Perciformes; Percidae
Exons: 3
Source: RefSeq, a predicted model, not a curated record